RNAcentral lists this small RNA (31 nucleotides) under Bombyx mori (domestic silkworm). RNAcentral describes it as "ovarian small RNA-15653". The record is from RNAcentral. Lineage: Eukaryota; Metazoa; Arthropoda; Insecta; Lepidoptera; Bombycidae.
GACUUGCACAGCGCAGGGGGUUAAACCCCAC